Molecule: long non-coding RNA, 2086 nt
Organism: Sitophilus oryzae (rice weevil)
Lineage: Eukaryota; Metazoa; Arthropoda; Insecta; Coleoptera; Curculionidae
Exons: 4
Source: RefSeq, a predicted model, not a curated record
CGUCUAAUCGGAAUGAUGGGAUGGGCCGUAGUCCAGCAUAUUCAGCCUAGUGUCAGUGAUAGUGAGAACUAUGAUCGUGUACGCAGCGCGUGUUAUUUGUGAAUUUAGUCGGUCUGUGUUAGAUGUCCUGCUACUAAAAAGUAUUUCCAGGUUCUGUCGAUCCUGAUGACGCGUUAAAUGGGAUUCCCCAGGGACCGUCCGUAGUUCCUGAGGGACCAGGGGCGUCCUUCCGCUCCCGCGGUGUGACGACACUGCUUUUUACGCCGUGUGGCAGGAAUCGCCAGUGAAAGAAUGUGGAAUGGAGUAUGCAGAUGAAGAGGAAAUGUAGAAGAACCAUUUCUAAAGCAUAAUUAUAACGGUCGCGUCGGUUCGUGGUUCUGGAGCUGUUCUAAGGCUUUUCACAGCAUUUUAAGGUCACACUUUUUAUUUGCGUUCAUACUUUCUUUGAUUCGAAUCAUAUAUAAUCCUUUGUAUUUCUUGUCGUUUGUAAAAAUCACAAGAAAUAAUAUCUUUAAUUUUUUUCGAGGUGUCUAUUUCUCAAAAUAAUUUAAAACCAAUUUGACUUUUACUCAGUUAUGCUUAAUUUAUUAUUAAAACACAUUUUUUUUGCUCAAAGUUUAAUGAAAUGUGUGCCAGGAAAUCGGAUCUUCAAUUAACCAUUUUCUUUAUUUCAAGUAUUUUUAUAACAAACAUUAUUAUUUUUUAUAUUUUUAUCUAGUCUCGGUAGUGUUGAAUGGGGAAUGCUAAGGUAAUUGAGGUUCACAGCCUUUCUUACUUUGGUGUUUUCUGUUUAGUGUUAUUUGAGAUUAGAUUAUUUCUAAAAUCAUUUUUAUUUUCUGUAAUUUCAAACUAAAUUUAAUCACUCUAUUCUAGUCUCUGUAAUGUUGAAUCGAGAGUGCUAAGCCAAUGGAGAUUCCAAGUCUUCCAUUGUUUUAGUGUUCUCUUUUUAGCAUUAUUUGGGAUUAGGUUCAUUUUAAAAAAUUCUAGAGGACAUAAUUUUUAUUUUCUGUAAUUUUAAACUAAAUUUCAAACAAUAACCACUCUAUUCCAGUCUCUGUAAUAGUUUUCUGUAGGGCAUUGUCAUAGGAUUAAAUCUAAUUUUUAAUUGAUACAGAUUUAUCUCGUUAAAGACACCCUAAAUUUUUCUUGUUACCUAUAGUAGUAAAUCUAUAAUUUUUGUGGCCUUGAGAUGUCCGAUGUGCAAGGUCUCAGUCGUAGUACCUUCUUCACUAACUGUUGCCUUAAGGUACUCUUGUCCUUAAGGCUGUUUCUGAGGAGGCACGACGAUUGGUGCAGGUUUGGAACGAAGAUUUUCUGGAAAAGGACAGUAGGAUGGAGAGCAUGGAACGAGAUAAAAUCAGGUUAGUGAGCGUAUAUUUUUGUACAAGGGAUGCAUAUCGUGGGGAGUGCUCUGCAAAAAACGUAAGUUUUUUUAAAAAUAUUUUCGUGGUUAUUUUUCCUGGUUUAUUUGGUUGUUCGUUUAUUUCCCUGGAGAUGGCGUGAGCGCGGUCCUGCAGGAGCUAAAGUCACCUGUGGGGCCCCUCACAGAAGCGAAGCAGAGUGUCGAGUCGACCUCUACCGGGGCUAAAGUCCCCUGUAUGAGCGUCCUCACAGAAGCACGUUGGGUUGAGAUCCGCAGGGGCUAACGUCCUCUGUGGAGGCUCCUCACAGAAGCAAAGAACAUGCUUUCCUCUCGAAAGCAGCCGAAGUCCAUUGGGUUGUCAUGUCUAUCGGUCUUUUUAUUGGGUUGUUAUGUCUAUCGGUUUUUCUUAAUUUGAUGUUCUUAUAUUUAGCUCUGUUCAUAUUAUCUAAGUCAAAUUAAAAUCUUGAAAAUCUCUAACAGUUAUUUUUAUUUUUUUAAAUUUAACAUGUAGGUGUAGGUGAUUUUCUUUAACUUCUUAAUUUUUUUAACUCACUUUUAUUUAAUUAUUACUAUUUUUGAGUAAACGCAUGUCAAUAUCUAGCAGUUCGAUCACUAAAUGUUUAAUACAAAUAGUCUAAAUUGUCUAAAUUUAUUUUUAUAUUUCCAAUUCAAGUUCAGAAAAAUUCUAGGCCCCAGAAAAAAUGAAUCAAUUUUUUUAAGUUG